CAAACUCUAGAAUUGAAACAUGUUUUUUGAAAUGUUGUCUUGUUGCUAUCUAUGUGCUAGAUCUUUUACGAAAAAUGAAUCUGGCCUAUACAGAUCGGAAAUGUGUUGAUUAUCAAUUUCAUGUUCCUCUAACAAUAUUUUAAAAAUAUCUCUAUAUUGAUAUGAUAAAAGUAAAAUGGUCAAAGCAUCGAAUUGAUGAUAAAAAAUUGGUCAUCUAUCUUUUGUAUUUAUCAAUUCUGGUCCUCUCACUUUUUAACAUGUUGAAGUUGGUCCCCACCUUUCACUUCAUCCACUUUAGUUCUUUAACUUCUAAAGAUGUACAAAUUGGUCCAUUCCAGGUUUAUGUACACCUUUAGUCCCUCGAAACUAUUUCGGUUCUCCUGCAGGUAUGAUCCCUGAGCUUCAAAUGCGUAUAAUAUUUUAUCCACAUUUUUGGUGUUGUGCUUUAAAUUCAAUAAUUGUUCCAUUUGUAUAUCAUUGGGACUGAGGAUAUAUUUGUAGAAAAGUUAAGCUCUCUCUCUCUCUCUCCCCCUUUUAUUUUUUAUAUUCGCAGUCGUGUAGUUUUUUUUAUUUUUAUUAUUAUUAUUAUUAUUAGAGGAAAUAUCACGUAAUGUCCAUUUUUAGUGAGUCAUUUGCAAAAAUGUUCACAAUUUUGUCAGUGUCCAUUUUUCAAUUAUGUAGACGAAAAUACCCCUAUUAGAAAAUAUUAUUUCCACACAAGAAUUCAAAAUUUUUCAUAUCAUUAUUCAUGUCAAUCAACGUAGAAAUGUCAAUCAGCAUUAAAUGCCUGGGUCGGGUCGAUGUGGGUAGAGUUAUGGGUCGAGUAGGUGCAGAUCGAGUUGGAUCGGGUUAUGGGUAAAAAAUGGAAACCUGAUGAACUUGACCCGAAUACAAAAAAAAAAUGAAGGUGGGGGAAUGAAAAAAUAAAAGAAGCCCUAAACUAAGUCCUCUCAACUCUCACUCUCAGUCUCUCAAUCUUCACUCCGACCCAACCUGCCGAUAACGAGCCUGUCCAUUUCUCUCUUAUUUUCCCAAUUGUCGUUUGCUCACCACACUUCAGAGUCCAGUGCUUUAGAAUAAGUUUAUUUUAUUAUUUUUUUCUUUAUUUCGUUAUUUUUUUCACUUCCCCAAGUCUCCCCUCUUCUUAAAUUUUAAGAUUUAGCUAGUUUAACAUAAAUUGAUAUCAAGGUCACUGAGUAUAUCGAUUCUAUUGGGCGAGCAAAUACUAACUGUUGAUACAAUUUGAGAUAAAAAGUGGUACAUGUGAAAUACUGUCGAAAAGGUUGAAGAGGUAAAGUGUUUAAAGAAAUCAGGAAAAUGAUUGUACUUUCUGUUGUCCCUGUUAUUGUAUCUUUUGUUUUGAGAUAUAAUCUAUAUGUCAACUAAAUUUGAUACUGCUAGAUGAUAAAUAACACUAGUACGAAGUGAAGAAUACUCCAUUUGAGGCAUAUUUCGCAUCUAAGUUAGGCAAUAAACAUGAUGAAAUGACACAGGUUGUGUUGCUAUUAUACACUCUUAGACUGUUUGAAUGCUCAUCAGCAACUAAAUGGCUUCAUUUUCGAAUCAAAUUUGUUCUGCAUCUUGUUGAGGGUUGCAUUUGUAUAUUGAUGGUUUCUUAUGGAGGAAGACUGUGAUAGGUUGAUAGUAGAUAGAAAACUUUAUCAAAUCUUAUGAUAUGUAUACUUGAUUUUGCGUAUAGUCUGUUGUAGUUGACUCUAAAUUCAUUUAAUACAAGGCUAUGUUGUUGUUAUUUAUUUUGCUAAAGAAUAUUGCAUUUUCGAUUUAUUUGAAUAUCUAAAUUAGGCAAUUAACUUAAUGAAAUUGUAGAAGAUUGUGUGUAUACUUUUGAACUGUUUGAAUGGUGAUCAAACUGUAAAAUGGUUACAUGAUAGCUUCAGAUCAGAAGCCAGGUUUGUUUUAAUUUCAACAAUUAAACAACAUAGUUUAGAUAUGGUAUUUUAUCAAACCAUUGUAUUGUAAAAAUCAUUUUUCUUUCACUGCAUUUUAACAAGAAUGUUAUAUUUGAUUUCAUUUGUACGUUCUCAUGCUAUUUGUUAAAGUAUUGUUUUCAUUUGUUUUGAUUUGUAGAUGAGUAUGACACACCGAUAUAAAAUUCCGGAGGAAGAACGUGUUCCGGCCUAUGUGUCACAAGUGAGCAACACAAAAUAUAUAUCAGUUGUCCUCAACAAAUUGGAUCCACAGCAAAAGCGUCAGUUGGAGUACAGUUGUAUAAGACAUGUUGCAAGGUUACCAAAGCUGAAACUAUCUGCUCAAUUAAUUCAUGAAAUGGUAAACAGAUCGGUGGUAUGCCGAAAGCAGUUUGAGGCUUGGUUCAGGGUGAACCAAAGAUUUGCAAGAUUUGGACUGUCGGAGUUCACACUAAUUACUGGCUUGAAGUGCAGUCCAAUGCCUAAAGGUGCCGAAAUUGACAAAAUCCUAGAGAAAACCCGUCUACAAUAUAAAAUGUUUACUAAUAUGGACCGGAUAACGUGUAGCGACCUAGAGAAAGUUUUUUUGAAAUGUACCAACCGUAACGAUCGUUACAAGCUUGGGUUGGCACUAAUUAUUGAAGGGGUAUUUAAUUCAAGAGAUCGGAAUAAAUUCGACAACUCUUUCUAUCGUUGACGACUUGAAUUUUUUCAAUGCCUACCCAUGGGGGACAGUAUGUUUUCAACUUUUCAUCAAAUCACUACUAUGUGGAUGGGGAAGAAAGGCGGACAUGGUAAAAGUGAAUGAUUGUGAUAGGAUGACUUGCACAUUGUACGGAUUCCCUCUUGCUGUCCAGAUUUGGGCGUACGAGGCAAUUUCGGAGUUGGGAGCUCGAUUCUCGAGUAAGACUUGUGACGAUGUCCCGAGGAUGUUGCGGUGGUCUAGCACGAAACAACCUCAUUCCCGGACAUAUUCAGAUUUUUUUUAGAAGACAAAUGUGCACUUGUGGGCAACGCUGUGUGCAACUGCUGGAGAAAAAUUGCAGUUGUACUUCGUCGAUCUAGUUCUGUUGGAAGAUGCAGUCGACCCCGUUCUAGAUGGUCUUGUUGCUCAAUCAAUAGAAAUACAAGCUUAUCCAGUUGAAGAUGAUAUCAUACGGAACGAUGACAACAACCAUCGACCAAAUAAAUCCCAGAGAGGCAACAUAGGUGGACCUCUUCAUCGAGGUUUGCAUCACGUUGAAGGCAGAGAAGAAGAGCAUGGGGAUCCGAUUGUUGAAAGACUUGUGUCUUUAGAUGAGAUAAGAGUUAUCUUGAAUGAACAACGGGAGGCAUUUGGGAGCAAGAUGGGGGAUUUGAGGGAAGAAAUGAACACAAGAUUCGCUAGUCUCCAAAAUGAUCUGGGAGGUCAUGUGUGUGGUUUGAGAAAUCAUGUCACUGAUGAGAUGAAUGUUCUUCGACGAAGGUUUGAUGAAGUUGCUAAGAAAUUGGACAACACAAUGUUGGUGCUGAGUAUGGUGGAUUUGGUCAUGACGAUCGUAGUGGAGACGAGCCUCGACAUGAUGUUUUCACUCCCAAUAUUUCUGCGAACAGACAGGAUGUCGUAGAGGCAAUCGAACCAGUUGUUUGCAAUAUCCCUGAUGUGUCCAUAACGUUAGGAGGUGGGGUUGGAGUACUUGGGUCAGUAUAUGUUGCUUGUGAUAUUGUAAAAGAGGCACCAGCCGUUGUACCUACAGUUGGUGUGACCAUUGAUGAUCAACUGUUCAUGAUAGCGUCGUUUCUGGACCUUCGAUGGCAGCUGAUCCACCUACACGUAGACCUCGAUCGUUGAGGCUGAAGAAGGCUAAUGCAAACAAAAAGACGCCAUAUACCCGAUCCGGUCACAAGAGGGGUAAGAGGGAUGCGUAGAAUUUAGAGGUUUGCCUAUUUUGAUUUAUAUGGUGGUUUUUCAAUAUGCAUUUUGGUUUAUGUCGUGGUACGGAAAAUUUAUUUUGGUUUAGACAGUGGUUUACAUAUUUUUGUUUAUAUGGUGGUAUGUAAUAUUUUGUGGAUGCAAACCGGUGGUUUAUAAGUUAGUGACAUGUUUCGAAUGUUGUAUGUUGAAAAUAGUUUAUAACUUUAUUAUCUCAUAUAGUGGAGUAGGAGAUGUCAAUGUUCUAAUGAAAUGUAGAGAAAUAUUAUACUUUA
Molecule: long non-coding RNA, 4115 nt
Organism: Olea europaea var. sylvestris
Lineage: Eukaryota; Viridiplantae; Streptophyta; Magnoliopsida; Lamiales; Oleaceae
Exons: 3
Source: RefSeq, a predicted model, not a curated record